RNAcentral lists this transfer RNA (69 nucleotides) under Choloepus didactylus (southern two-toed sloth). RNAcentral describes it as "tRNA-Ala". It matches the Rfam family "tRNA". From Rfam's summary of the family: Transfer RNA (tRNA) molecules are approximately 80 nucleotides in length. Their secondary structure includes four short double-helical elements and three loops (D, anti-codon, and T loops). Further hydrogen bonds mediate the characteristic L-shaped molecular structure. tRNAs have two regions of fundamental functional importance: the anti-codon, which is responsible for specific mRNA codon recognition, and the 3' end, to which the tRNAs corresponding amino acid is attached (by aminoacyl-tRNA synthetases). tRNAs cope with the degeneracy of the genetic code in two manners: having more than one tRNA (with a specific anti-codon) for a particular amino acid; and 'wobble' base-pairing, i.e. permitting non-standard base-pairing at the 3rd anti-codon position. Lineage: Eukaryota; Metazoa; Chordata; Mammalia; Pilosa; Megalonychidae. The record is from RNAcentral.
GAGGACUUAGCUUAAUUAAAGUUUUUGAUUUGCAUUCAACAGAUGUAAGGUGAUGUCUUGCAGUCCUUG